UGGGGAAUAUUGCACAAUGGGCGAAAGCCUGAUGCAGCAACGCCGCGUGAGUGAUGAAGGCCUUCGGGUUGUAAAGCUCUGUCUUUUGGGACGAUAAUGACGGUACCAAAGGAGGAAGCCACGGCUAACUACGUGCCAGCAGCCGCGGUAAUACGUAGGUGGCAAGCGUUGUCCGGAUUUACUGGGCGUAAAGGAUGCGUAGGCGGAUUUUUAAGUGAGAUGUGAAAACCCUAAGCUUAACUUGGGGACUGCAUUUCAUACUGGAAAUCUAGAGUGCGGGAGAGGAGAAUGAAAUUCCUAGUGUAGCGGUGAAAUGCGUAGAGAUUAGGAAGAACACCAGUGGCGAAGGCGAUUCUCUGGACCGUAACUGACGCUGAGGCAUGAAAAGCGUGGGUAGCAAACAGGAUUAGAUACCCUGGUAGUCCACGCCGUAAACGAUGAGUACUAGGUGUAGGAGGUAUCGACCCCUUCUGUGCCGCAGUUAACACAAUAAGUACUCCGCCUGGGAAGUACGAUCGCAAGAUUAAAAACUCAAAUG
Molecule: ribosomal RNA, 538 nt
Filed under: uncultured bacterium
Lineage: Bacteria
Description: partial 16S ribosomal RNA
Rfam family: Bacterial small subunit ribosomal RNA
Source: RNAcentral